GUCUAUUACGGUGAUAUUUAUAGUCUAGCCUGCUCAGUGACAUAAAAGUGUUAAAUAGCCGCGGUAUCCUGACCGUGCAAAGGUAGCAUAAUCAUUAGUUUUUUAAUUGGAAACUAGAAUGAAUGGUUGGACAAGAAAAAAACUGUCUCUUUUAUUAAAAUUGAAAUUAACUUUUAAGUGAAAAGGCUUAAAAUUUACUAAGGGGACGAUAAGACCCUAUAAAGCUUUAUAAAUUCAGAGAUUUUAGAUAUUUUAUAUAUAAAUUUAUUUUUUGAUAAUUUAUUUGGUUGGGGCGACAAGGGUAUAAUUAUAAAUAACUGCCAUUAAUGUUUAUACAUGUAUUUUUGAUUUAAAUUUAAUAUAGUAGUUGAUCCUUUUUAAGGAUUUAAAGAUCAAGUUACUUUAGGGAUAACAGCGUAAUUUCUUCUGAGAGUUCUUAUCAAAGAAGAAGUUUGCGACCUCGAUGUUGAAUUAAAAUGUCUUUAUAGUGCAGCAGCUAUAAAAGAAGGUCUGUUCGACCUUUAAUUUUUU
RNAcentral lists this ribosomal RNA (531 nucleotides) under Monomia gladiator. RNAcentral's name for it is "partial large subunit ribosomal RNA". It matches the Rfam family "Archaeal large subunit ribosomal RNA", at positions 1921 to 2666 of the family's 2987-position model. Lineage: Eukaryota; Metazoa; Arthropoda; Malacostraca; Decapoda; Portunidae. The record is from RNAcentral.